AGAAAAGAAAGAAAACCACAGGAUAGCAUAAGGAGAUGCACCUCUUCAUGAUUCACGGGCUGUUGCUGUUAUCAUUAGCAAAUGCAGCGGCAGUAGCAGCAUUACCACCAAUACCUCUUGCCAAACCUGGUUGCCCACGCAGAUGCGGGAACCUCAGCAUCCCAUACCCAUUUGGCACUCGCGAAGGGUGCUUCCUAGAUGAUACUUUCUUGAUAACCUGUAAUUCCACCACCAAUACACCAUUUUUGCAAGAUGGAAACAUAAAAGCCCUAGACAUAUCACUUGAUGGUCAUCUUCGAAUCUUCUCCCGGGCGACCUACGAUUGCUAUUCCAAGAACGGGAGCCGGGAUAUUUAUAGAACAUGGACCAGAUUAUCCACAUUCACUCUUUCAUUUUCCCGGAACAAGUUUAUUGCAGUAGGUUGUGACACUUACGCAUCGGUUGAAGUUUCCUUGGGACAUAGCUACACCACUGGAUGUUUGUCACUCUGUGACUCAAAGGAUAAAGUGGUUAAUGGGUCUUGCUCUGGUAUUGGUUGCUGCCAAACCUCCAUACCUAAAGGCUUAUGGGAUUUCAAUAUUGCUGUGACAAGCUAUGACAACCACACGCAAAUAUUGGACUCCUA
Molecule: unclassified non-coding RNA, 625 nt
Filed under: Hevea brasiliensis (rubber tree)
Lineage: Eukaryota; Viridiplantae; Streptophyta; Magnoliopsida; Malpighiales; Euphorbiaceae
Source: RNAcentral